This 464-nucleotide long non-coding RNA is filed under the name Malus domestica (apple). Its description in RNAcentral is "long non-coding RNA (MDOM_LNC018097)". The record is from RNAcentral. Lineage: Eukaryota; Viridiplantae; Streptophyta; Magnoliopsida; Rosales; Rosaceae.
CUAAUUCAAAACAAUAAGGGAAACAAGACAAUAUUUUUGGAUUUUUAAAUUUUCCGAUUUUUUUAAAAUUUUUUUUUUAAAAGAAAACAAAACUAAUUAAGAAAACAAAAAGCAACAACAUGGAAACAAAUGAAACUCGUUCGUAGUUGAAGGUACAAAAAAAAAUUUCAAUUUGGUCAUUUUUAUACUCUUUACCCCCAAACUUAAACUAGACAUUGUCCCCAAUGUCAGAAAACACUAUAAUGCAAAUAAAAAUAAAAUAAAUAAAUAAUAAGAAACAAAAUAAAGCAAUUGGACUGAAAACUUCCCUAGUUUGCAGUAAAACCAAGCGAUGACCCCCCAAGCUAAAAUUCUGCAAUCAACUUCAAGGGUGGAAAGAACCAAAAGUUCUUGCAAAGAAAAGAAAUAAUUCAGUUAAGUAACGCAAGAAAAUGUAAAAUUGAAAAUCACGAUAAAAGACAAUG